CUCCAGUUUCUCCAAGUCUGCACUUCACUGAACUGUGGAUCUGGCCGGGGCCGGUGCAAGAGGCGAUGGUGUGGAAGCUUCGAGCAGAUUUGACAAAUUCUUGCCACCCAGUCCUCCACAGGGUAAAGAGCCCAGAUGGCAUAGAAGACUCAAGGAAGUUGUUCUGGGAAUCACACUGAGGCUAGCAGAGCUGAGCUUUUCUGCCCGUUGUAGAGGGAUUAAAAAAAAAAAAACCCUCAAGAUCAAGUCCUCCCACUUCCAUCCUGCAUACCUAUGAUGUCUCUGAGAGCUGCAAGCUCUGUGAGCUUCCCUGAGGUGACCAGGGAUGAUCAUGUGCUGCUCCGUGCUGUUGAGAUGCCUCUGUGAGCUGCCUGCCUGCUGGU
Molecule: long non-coding RNA, 383 nt
Organism: Tupaia belangeri chinensis (Chinese tree shrew)
Lineage: Eukaryota; Metazoa; Chordata; Mammalia; Scandentia; Tupaiidae
Exons: 3
Source: RefSeq, a predicted model, not a curated record